AAAAUAGAUAUAAAUAAACUUGCAUCAAUUAAUAAAGUCACGUGAAUUGCUAUAAACCAUUGAUUUAAUUACAUAUUGGAUGGUUAAAAUUUGUUCUCUCUCCCUUUUCUCUGUGAAUCUCCGCUGCCGUCAGAACCAUCUCAGCCCUCGUCAAAACUCUCUAUCGUGAAUAUGAUUGAGUCACGAGCACACAAGCUCGAAUGCGGGUAACCCUAACCACGGUGAGCAUCUUUGCCCGAGCCGCUUCACUUGUUGUCACCGUCAAGCUCUGGUCACUGAGAAGCUUCUCGUGCUGCUAUGUACCUGUUUUCCUUCUUCGUCUUAUUUCAUUUUACCACCGACAAUCGCAACUAACAAAUCAACAAGAAAUCAAGAGCAAUAAGACCAAGUCAAAUGAUUUGAGGUUAUCUUUCAUUUUGUUCCUACCAAUGAGCUAAGAAUCCCCAAAUUUCCUGC
Molecule: long non-coding RNA, 456 nt
Filed under: Brassica napus (rape)
Lineage: Eukaryota; Viridiplantae; Streptophyta; Magnoliopsida; Brassicales; Brassicaceae
Description: long non-coding RNA (BNAP_LNC002935)
Source: RNAcentral